Molecule: long non-coding RNA, 925 nt
Organism: Cyprinus carpio (common carp)
Lineage: Eukaryota; Metazoa; Chordata; Actinopteri; Cypriniformes; Cyprinidae
Source: Ensembl
GGAUUAUGGUAGUUUGGGCUUCGCACUGACCGGGUUCAGGGAACUUGGCUUUGAAUCUAAUUGCCAUUGUUCCUUCCUUGCAGGCUGAAAAUCCUUCCGCUUGUUUCCUGAAGCAGGUCAGCAGUGGAUGUGUUGAAAAGGUGACUGACUGCAAAGAUGGUGCUACACGUCUGACUUCCUGUGCAGUGGAGCUGAAGCAGGAAAUGAAAGAUCAAGUAUAUCCCAAGCAGAAACACUAUUGUCUGGGAUGCUGGUCUGGGAAGUCUGAUCCUGCCCAUUGAGACACAAACGGCCCUCACUGUGGCUCCAGGGCCCCCACCCACACCAGGCAUUACACCAACACCGAAGGGUCAGGGGUCAGUCUCUAAAAUGUUUAUGCUCCGUCCUGUGAUUUUGAACUCCCCCUGCUAUUUUGGUAGGAGCCCCAAAAUUUCAAAAUGACUUCAAAUGUGUAUUUUUGUUGUCACAGACUGGAGCUCUGAGAGACUGCUGGGGUGUAUUUAUGAACACUGUCUCCGAUGGUAAAGAUCAACGGCUGCUCUCACCACAGUGACAUUUGGCCGGUUAACUGCAAUCACUAUAGGGAAAUAAUAGUGAACACAAUGGAAGCUAUAUUUUAUUUUAGUUCAUUAUAAAAGCAGGGUAAUAUAUACACAGUGUAUGUGUGUGUGUCUUUGUAUAGAUAGAUAGAUAGAUAGAUAGAUAGAUAGAUAGAUAGACAGACAGACAGAUAGAUAGAUAGAUAGAUAGAUAGAUAGAUAGAUAGAUAGAUAGAUAGAUAGAUAGAUAGAUAGAUAGAUAGAUAGAUAGAUAGAUAGAUAGAUAUAGAUAGAUAGAUAGCACAAAAUGUUUUGCUCAAAAAUUGCACGUCAUCAUGCAUACUUUUUUUUUUUUUUUUAAUAAAGAAAAUAUCAUCUAUACGUCA